This 376-nucleotide ribosomal RNA is filed under the name uncultured bacterium. RNAcentral's name for it is "bacterial SSU rRNA". It matches the Rfam family "Bacterial small subunit ribosomal RNA", at positions 523 to 898 of the family's 1533-position model. The record is from RNAcentral.
AUACGGAGGGUGCAAGCGUUAAUCGGAAUUACUGGGCGUAAAGCGCACGCAGGCGGUCUGUCAAGUCGGAUGUGAAAUCCCCGGGCUCAACCUGGGAACUGCAUUCGAAACUGGCAGGCUAGAGUCUUGUAGAGGGGGGUAGAAUUCCAGGUGUAGCGGUGAAAUGCGUAGAGAUCUGGAGGAAUACCGGUGGCGAAGGCGGCUCCCUGGACAAAGACUGACGCUCAGGUGCGAAAGCGUGGGGAGCAAACAGGAUUAGAUACCCUGGUAGUCCACGCCGUAAACAAUGUCGAUUUGGAGGUUGUGGCCUUGAGGCGUGGGUGCCGGAGCUAACGCGUUAAGUCGACCGCCUGGGGAGUACGGCCGCAAGGUUGAA